CCAAGCCUGUGAUGCUUCGUUAUCCCUGUCUGAGCAGAUCAGCUGAGGGAAAACCAUAUUCUGAGGCUGGG
Molecule: small nucleolar RNA, 71 nt
Organism: Suncus etruscus (white-toothed pygmy shrew)
Lineage: Eukaryota; Metazoa; Chordata; Mammalia; Eulipotyphla; Soricidae
Product: small nucleolar RNA R38
Exons: 1
Source: RefSeq, a predicted model, not a curated record